Molecule: ribosomal RNA, 620 nt
Filed under: Bacillus vallismortis
Lineage: Bacteria; Bacillati; Bacillota; Bacilli; Caryophanales; Bacillaceae
Description: bacterial SSU rRNA
Rfam family: Bacterial small subunit ribosomal RNA
Source: RNAcentral
CCCCCGGCUCAACCGGGGAGGGUCAUUGGAAACUGGGGAACUUGAGUGCAGAAGAGGAGAGUGGAAUUCCACGUGUAGCGGUGAAAUGCGUAGAGAUGUGGAGGAACACCAGUGGCGAAGGCGACUCUCUGGUCUGUAACUGACGCUGAGGAGCGAAAGCGUGGGGAGCGAACAGGAUUAGAUACCCUGGUAGUCCACGCCGUAAACGAUGAGUGCUAAGUGUUAGGGGGUUUCCGCCCCUUAGUGCUGCAGCUAACGCAUUAAGCACUCCGCCUGGGGAGUACGGUCGCAAGACUGAAACUCAAAGGAAUUGACGGGGGCCCGCACAAGCGGUGGAGCAUGUGGUUUAAUUCGAAGCAACGCGAAGAACCUUACCAGGUCUUGACAUCCUCUGACAAUCCUAGAGAUAGGACGUCCCCUUCGGGGGCAGAGUGACAGGUGGUGCAUGGUUGUCGUCAGCUCGUGUCGUGAGAUGUUGGGUUAAGUCCCGCAACGAGCGCAACCCUUGAUCUUAGUUGCCAGCAUUCAGUUGGGCACUCUAAGGUGACUGCCGGUGACAAACCGGAGGAAGGUGGGGAUGACGUCAAAUCAUCAUGCCCCUUAUGACCUGGGCUACACAC